UCUACCAAACCCUACGAAAGAAAGGCUUUCUCUCAACAUUUCUUCCCUUUCUUCCUUUCUCAAUCUCAUCAAUUUCUUCCCUCUCUUCUCUGAUCAGUCGUCAUCCCCACCAUCACAGCCAUCUCUCAUACCCAGCGCGUGCUCGUUCGUCGUCGUGUUUCUUGUAUCAUUUAAAAAAUCUUCAUUCUCUCACUUUGCAUCUAACCAUUAGGAUGUGGCGCAAAAUUUCCUGUUCAAUGGCAUUGACGAGCUCGGAAGCAAAAGGUUUCUGAAUUACUUUCCAGAGUUUCGCUGCGAACAUGGUACAAUCAACACGAAACGUAGUAUGGCAGGAAAGUCUUACGAACAUCGACCUUGGGAUGAAAGAGGUGUAACUUGUACAUUAGACUGAGUUCAGAGUUUGUUAAGUUAUUGUUUGCACGCAAGUAGUUGGAUGCACUGCCAUUGAAGUGAUCAAUUUUUCAAUGAGCCACAACAAUUUUUGAAGUAAGAGUGAGAAACAACCAGUUCCAUGAAAGACCACUCGUGGGCAUUUGAAUUUAUGGGCUGUUUGAGCAGUUCAAUACAAAUACUUAUCUGAAAUUAUACAAGUGGGAGUAAGAUGGUGAUGAUUCAAGAAUUGCUCUAAUGGCUGUUGAAGUAAAGACAGAGCUUUGUAGAAAUUUCUAAGAAGGCUACGAGAUGACAGAGUGUCGAGAUUCUGAAUGAAGUGCCCUCGUCAAUUGGAUUCUGUAGGGUGUGGGUACUACGUGCAAAAGUACAUACAUGAGAUAGUGCAUAAUUCUAGUACUCCUAUUACUAGCCUUUUCAAUACCAAAAGUGCAUAUAGGCAAGAGGAGAUUGACGAGAUUCAAACCAAAUGGGCAUCUUUUGUUAGCAGAUUUGUGUAAGCUUUUAAAUGUUUUUUUUUUUUGGUCCAGUUAAGUUAGUAGUUGAUUUUUGUAGUUAAGUUAAUAGUUGGUCGAGUUAAGUUAAGUUUUUGUAGGGACAGGCAGUCCUAUAGUUUUUUGAAGGGCAGGUGGUCCCAUACUAAUUGUUGUUUGUUAGAUAGUUUGUACGUAUCCUUUAGUUAGUGGAGGAACUUUUUGUUGUACAUAUACAUUGGUUAUUAAUCACGAUCUUAUAUAUUAUCUUUA
Long non-coding RNA from Cucumis melo (muskmelon), 1136 nucleotides. RefSeq lists it as uncharacterized. The record is from RefSeq and is a predicted model, not a curated record. The transcript has 5 exons. Lineage: Eukaryota; Viridiplantae; Streptophyta; Magnoliopsida; Cucurbitales; Cucurbitaceae.